UACGGAGGGUGCAAGCGUUGUCCGGAAUCAUUGGGUGUAAAGGGUGCGUAGGCGGAGGCCUAAGUCGGAGGUGAAAUCCUGCCGCUCAACGGUAGAAUGGCCUUCGAUACUGGGUCUCUUGAGUUCGGAAGAGGUUGGUGGAAUUCGUGGUGUAGCGGUGAAAUGCAUAGAGAUCACGAAGAACACCGGUGGCGAAGGCGGCCAACUGGUCCGACACUGACGCUGAGGCACGAGAGCGUGGGGAGCGAACAGG
RNAcentral lists this unclassified non-coding RNA (253 nucleotides) under uncultured Bacteroidota bacterium. RNAcentral describes it as "uncultured Bacteroidetes bacterium contains 16S-23S intergenic spacer region". It matches the Rfam family "Bacterial small subunit ribosomal RNA", at positions 524 to 776 of the family's 1533-position model. Lineage: Bacteria; Pseudomonadati; Bacteroidota. The record is from RNAcentral.